AAAACUUUCAACAACGGAUCUCUUGGUUCCAGCAUCGAUGAAGAACGCAGCGAAAUGCGAUAACUAAUGUAAUUGCAGAAUUCAGUGAAUCAUCGAGUCUUUGAACGCACAUUGCGCCCCUCGGUAUUCCGGGGGGCAUGCCUGUUCGAGCGUCAUU
Molecule: ribosomal RNA, 157 nt
Filed under: Esslingeriana idahoensis
Lineage: Eukaryota; Fungi; Ascomycota; Lecanoromycetes; Lecanorales; Parmeliaceae
Description: 5.8S ribosomal RNA
Rfam family: 5.8S ribosomal RNA
About the family: 5.8S ribosomal RNA (5.8S rRNA) is a component of the large subunit of the eukaryotic ribosome.
Source: RNAcentral